GUCUAUAUAGUUUAAAAACAUUAGGCUGUGAACCUAAAAAUAGAUCUUAUAGACCCAGAGUGAA
RNAcentral lists this transfer RNA (64 nucleotides) under Alopoglossus brevifrontalis. Its description in RNAcentral is "tRNA-His". The stretch from base 1 to 55 matches the Rfam family "tRNA". Rfam says of the family: Transfer RNA (tRNA) molecules are approximately 80 nucleotides in length. Their secondary structure includes four short double-helical elements and three loops (D, anti-codon, and T loops). The record is from RNAcentral. Lineage: Eukaryota; Metazoa; Chordata; Lepidosauria; Squamata; Alopoglossidae.